Molecule: long non-coding RNA, 263 nt
Filed under: Gallus gallus (chicken)
Lineage: Eukaryota; Metazoa; Chordata; Aves; Galliformes; Phasianidae
Description: long non-coding RNA NONGGAT002507
Source: RNAcentral
AUGGCGGUAUUUGCUGCGGCGUGGAGCUGUUUUGCUGAAUGCCCAUUUCAAUGGGUUGACAGGUAUUCUAAGAGGAGGUGAAACUCAGGAGGAUGACAGAAAACAUGCGAGGGAGGCUGGUGUGGCUGAUUGUGCCUUAUCGUAAUGGCCUUUCCUCCUGCAGAGCCAAGAUAAGGCAUGCCUGCUGUUUAGAGACCACUCACUGCAGCUGUAAUGUUACACAACAUCUAGUGUUUCUUAAAUUUAAAAAACUCACUUCAAGA